GAUGAACGCUGGCGGCGUGCCUAAUACAUGCAAGUCGAGCGAACGGACGAGAAGCUUGCCUCUCUGAUGUUAGCGGCGGACGGGUGAGUAACACGUGGAUAACACACCUAUAAGACUGGGAUAACUUCCGGAAACCGGUGCUAAUAACGGAUAAUAUUCUGAAGCGCAUGGAUCAAAAGUGAAAGACGGUCUUGCUGUCACUUAUAGAUGGAUCCGCGCUGCAUUAGCUAGUUGGUAGGGUAACGGCUUACCAAGGCAACGAUGCAUAGCCGACCUGAGAGGGUGAUCGGCCACACUGGAACUGAGACACGGUCCAGACUCCUACGGGAGGCAGCAGUAGGGAAUCUUCCGCAAUGGGCGAAAGCCUGACGGAGCAACGCCGCGUGUGUGAUGAAGGUCUUCGGAUCGUAAAGCUCUUUUAUUGGGGAAGAAGAUAGGUGUAAUAAUCUGUGCACAUCUUGACGGUACCUGAUCAGGAAGCCCCGGCUAACUACGUG
This 497-nucleotide ribosomal RNA is filed under the name uncultured bacterium. RNAcentral's name for it is "partial 16S ribosomal RNA". It matches the Rfam family "Bacterial small subunit ribosomal RNA", at positions 28 to 507 of the family's 1533-position model. The record is from RNAcentral.